Molecule: ribosomal RNA, 908 nt
Filed under: uncultured bacterium
Lineage: Bacteria
Description: bacterial SSU rRNA
Rfam family: Bacterial small subunit ribosomal RNA
Source: RNAcentral
GGCUCAGGAUGAACGCUAGCUACAGGCUUAACACAUGCAAGUCGAGGGGAAACGACAUCGAAAGCUUGCUUUUGAUGGGCGUCGACCGGCGCACGGGUGAGUAACGCGUAUCCAACCUGCCCACCACUUGGGGAUAACCUUGCGAAAGUAAGACUAAUACCCAAUGAUAUCUCUAGAAGACAUCUGAAGGAGAUUAAAGAUUUAUCGGUGAUGGAUGGGGAUGCGUCUGAUUAGCUUGUUGGCGGGGUAACGGCCCACCAAGGCGACGAUCAGUAGGGGUUCUGAGAGGAAGGUCCCCCACAUUGGAACUGAGACACGGUCCAAACUCCUACGGGAGGCAGCAGUGAGGAAUAUUGGUCAAUGGACGAGAGUCUGAACCAGCCAAGUAGCGUGCAGGAUGACGGCCCUAUGGGUUGUAAACUGCUUUUAUAAGGGAAUAAAGUGAGUCUCGUGAGGCUUUUUGCAUGUACCUUAUGAAUAAGGACCGGCUAAUUCCGUGCCAGCAGCCGCGGUAAUACGGAAGGUCCGGGCGUUAUCCGGAUUUAUUGGGUUUAAAGGGAGCGUAGGCCGGAGAUUAAGCGUGUUGUGAAAUGUAGGUGCUCAACAUCUGCACUGCAGCGCGAACUGGUUUCCUUGAGUACGCACAAAGUGGGCGGAAUUCGUGGUGUAGCGGUGAAAUGCUUAGAUAUCACGAAGAACUCCGAUUGCGAAGGCAGCUCACUGGAGCGCAACUGACGCUGAAGCUCGAAAGUGCGGGUAUCGAACAGGAUUAGAUACCCUGGUAGUCCGCACGGUAAACGAUGGAUGCCCGCUGUUGGUCUGAAUAGGUCAGCGGCCAAGCGAAAGCAUUAAGCAUCCCACCUGGGGAGUACGCCGGCAACGGUGAAACUCAAAGGAAUUGACGGAAG